GGGGGAUUGGGGUAGCCUGGCAUCCUUGUGCCCUGGGGGGGCAUAGACCUGAGUUCGAAUCUCAGAUCCCCCA
Molecule: transfer RNA, 73 nt
Filed under: Candidatus Micrarchaeota archaeon CG1_02_55_22
Lineage: Archaea; Nanobdellati; Microcaldota
Description: tRNA-Pro
Rfam family: tRNA
About the family: Transfer RNA (tRNA) molecules are approximately 80 nucleotides in length. Their secondary structure includes four short double-helical elements and three loops (D, anti-codon, and T loops).
Source: RNAcentral